Molecule: ribosomal RNA, 545 nt
Filed under: uncultured bacterium
Lineage: Bacteria
Description: bacterial SSU rRNA
Rfam family: Bacterial small subunit ribosomal RNA
Source: RNAcentral
ACUUAGCGGCGAACGGGUGAGUAACGCGUGAGCAACCUGCCCUUCAGACUGGGAUAACAGUGCGAAAGCGCUGCUAAUACCGGAUACGAAUGCACCAAUGCCUAUUGGUGUAAGGAAAGCGAUAGCGCUGAAGGAUGGGCUCGCGUCCCAUUAGCUAGUUGGUGAGGUAACGGCCCACCAAGGCGACGAUGGGUAGCCGGCCUGAGAGGGUGUACGGCCACACUGGGACUGAGACACGGCCCAGACUCCUACGGGAGGCAGCAGUAGGGAAUUUUGCUCAAUGGGGGAAACCCUGAAGCAGCGACGCCGCGUGAGCGAAGAAGGCCUUCGGGUCGUAAAGCUCUGUCAUUGGGGAAGAAAAGGACGGUACCCAAUGAGGAAGCCCCGGCUAACUACGUGCCAGCAGCCGCGGUAAUACGUAGGGGGCGAGCGUUGUCCGGAAUUAUUGGGCGUAAAGGGUGCGUAGGCGGAUAAGUAAGUCCGAUGUGAAAUGCUACGGCUUAACCGUGGAGUUGCAUUGGAAACUGCGUAUCUAGAGUACAGGA